Molecule: long non-coding RNA, 283 nt
Organism: Egretta garzetta (little egret)
Lineage: Eukaryota; Metazoa; Chordata; Aves; Pelecaniformes; Ardeidae
Exons: 3
Source: RefSeq, a predicted model, not a curated record
GAACGGCACCCAGGUGCUGCAGUACAGCCGGGACGUGCGGAAGCUCCACCUGAGCAUCAACGUCACCAAUGUGCCCACCACCCCCUCCAACGGUGAGGAUGCCCACGAGGCGCUGCUCAACAUCACGGUGCCGGCCAGCCUGCUGCCCUCCUCCGUCCGCCCGAGCGGAGCCUGUACGUUUACGGAGACGGUGCUGUGCGAGCUGGGCAACCCUUUCAAGAGGAACCAGAGGGCAGAGCUGAUCAUCACCUUCGAGGCCAUCGGGAUCAUGCUGGACACACGG